RNAcentral lists this long non-coding RNA (5248 nucleotides) under Gallus gallus (chicken). RNAcentral's name for it is "lncRNA (ENSGALG00010024252.1)". The record is from RNAcentral. Lineage: Eukaryota; Metazoa; Chordata; Aves; Galliformes; Phasianidae.
CGUUUAUUUCCGUAAUACCUUACAAUGAACAAAGGACUUUUCUUUAACCGAGUAAAAAGGUGGAAACAUUUUAAUGACUGUUGAGAUGAGCACCUCAUUACCAAAUCUACAGCCAAUUCAGUGUGGACAGCUUCUGUUUAGAAGGCAGCUUGUUGGAGCCAGGCUGUGCUCUGUGCUUUGAGAGAUCCCGCUUACAGACAGCACUCCUUCCUUUAAGUAGCACUAACUUUCUCGUCUGCCUCAAGCAAUUCUUUGGGAUGUCACACAUCAAAACACAGUUUUCUUCAUUCAUCCUAAUAGGUAGCAAAGAGUUCAGAGUUUUUAGGUUCAGAGGCUGAUGUAGUCUUGUUUUGACCUUUCUCAACAGGCUGAAUGCCCUGCAGUGCUCUGCACUGGAGUGUGGUGAGCACAGCAGAAUCCACGUCAAUCUCAUGAGGAGAGGCAGCACAUCUGAGAUGCACCACAGCUUAACAGCACUACCCCAGUAUCUUAAAAUCUGAUGUUGCAGCCCAUUUGCUGCAAUGCACUUGACAGAGGUACAUAUCCUCACCAUCAUUUUGAAGAUGAAGGAGUUGAGACAGGAUAAGCUGUUGUCACUGGUCCACUGUCACAGCACCAGGGUUUGGAAGAGCAGAGCUUGUCUUAUACCAGUUCAAACUUCUCAAAGUCAAAAUCAAAAUAAUGACAAAACACAUUUUCUUCCAACUCAGUGGGAGCUUUUUCACUGACCUGCCACUCUGAGAUAUGACAAACCUUGAAUAAGUCAAAAGGAUAAGAAGUGAGAAAGUAGAUGAAGAGUAUAUAAGGUGAAGUAAAAUGUGAAUAAGAAACAAAAAGCAUCCGUAGAUUUACAAAUGAAGUUAAAGACCUCUAAGAAAAGUAGCCAUAUCAUCCGUUUUAGAGAACUCCUGCCAUCCACAUGAGGUGUGAUGCACUGUUUCACUCCUCAGCUGCUGAUGGCCUCUUGUCCAAACAGUGGAGAGCUGCACAACUCAUCUAUCCCUCAUCUAUCAGGUCAUGAAAAAUAUUGCCCAUUAUGGCAAAGGCAUAUUUGCUUGGAUGAUAAGACUUAUACGGGUCCUAGUUACACCAUCAUCUGCAUCAACACGCAGCAUUUUUGCCAGGAGCAAAGAGGGCAGCAGCUUACAAGCAAAAAUCAGUUGUUCUGGAAGACCUGCCUUUCAAAAGUUAGGAGCAUGAGUUCCCUGUACUAUCAGUAGAAGUUUUAAAAAAGGUGGGGGUAAGGAAGAACCAUAGUCUAAGUUAUACAUCUUAUGUUAGAUGAUUUUGUAUUAACUAUAGAGUGCAAAAACACAACUGAAAAACUCUGAGUUUGCUGCUUGUUCUGCAAUCUCAUUAAUCACUUUUAUUUAAACAUGAGCAGCUUAAGGUUAGCUAUGCUUCGUCUGCUGUGCACUGGCCAUUGAGACAGUAAAUGUUUGGGGAUCUCUGCACAUUUUCUUACUUUUAAGGAAACCCAGAUGUAAGCAAAGGGGAGAGAAUGUAAACCCCAGAGAGCCAGACAGUCUCUGUCAAGUGCCAGCUAAGCAGCCUGUGGUGCUUCUGGGCUGCUCUGCUUUAUGCCACCCAGCACGGAGCGCACAACCUGACAAUGCAGCCCACCCCCAGGUUGACCAACCAGCUGAAUUGCUCUCCCUGUGGGGCUCAGAUAUCAUAACCACAGACAUUAUUGCUAAAUAGUCAGCAAAAUUCCAUUUGCAGUGUAAAGUAUCUGACAGUUAGUAUUUCGGAGCUGUAUAUUGCUUGAAUAGAAACCAAAAUUACUCUAUAUGAUAAAGUUAAUGGUGUACAGUUUGUAAGUUAGUUAUAACAACACCUCAAGCAUUUCUACAAAACUUAAUUUAAUAUUCCAACUCAUUAAAAAUCUUAUUACAGAAACCACUUACAGGCUUUAUAAACACAUUUUUAUAUUAUUAGGGAAGGAUCUUAAUAAAGAACAAUUUGAAUGCAGAAAUGCACAUGUAGAGUAAAUUGCUUAUAGUAAAACUAGCUAAACAAAAUUUGCUGUCAGCAAACCUCCUGACUAGUUUCUUCAUCUGCUUUACAAAUGUGCUAUGUUUCAGUGUAUCUAGACCUUUCCUAAUAGAAAGUGCGUACCAGAGAAUUCCAGCAACUGAGAUAAAGGUGCAAACAUUGGCCUUAAUGCUGCCCUGUGAGCCAAAAUAUCCCAGAGCAGUCAAUGACGAGUACUUGGAGUUGAUUAUGACAAUGAAUGUAACUCCCAUCUCUAGAAAUUUCUCUCUUUCAAGCUGCACCAAUUAUUUAAUAGUAAAAAUUAAAAACGAUAUUGAAUCUUUGGACAAACCUCAACAGCGUCUCUCAUAGAAAACCAGUGUUGAUCUACUUAUAAUAUCAUUUGUUACAUUUAGCUACUGUUUUAUUAUAUUUACUAAUUAUCAUCAUACUGUGACAUCUCAUGGUGAUAUACCAGCAAAAUUAAUCAUUAAAAGAAUUACCUGAAAGCAAGUAUAUUUCAUCUACAUAAUGGUUUUUUAAACUAAAGCAAUAGACUGGUAGUGACUUAAUGGUUGGUUUGCAAUCAGAGUAAGAACCAACUCUGUUAUACAUCAUCUGCAUUCUUCAUGAGCAUUGCUGUUGUUGCUUUUCACAUUAUGUAAAUUGUAGAAACCUGUAAGAUUUGAAUCUUCUGUGGCAGAUAUUUUUAUUCUUAUGUUUUAAAUUUUGUGCACUCGCAGCCUCAAAUAGGUAUAAUUUCAAAUCUCUAUAAAUAACAUAAUUUGUUGUUUUCAGUAACACUUAAAAUGUUAAUCUGCAGAUCCCUAUCUUAAUGAAUUAGUAGUGUUUUCUAUGUACAAAAUAAAUGCAAAAGGUCAGCUUAUUAUCCAAAAAACUACUGUGAAGUGAGAGAAUUAAUUUUGUUUUUCUGCUGAAACUGCAUGCAAUCACAGAGGUUCAUAUGGGUGAAGUAUUAUUAAGUUCUGUUCACUGACACAUACCACAAAAUACAAAAAAAGAGCUAAGAAGUACAGGCCACUGAAAUUACUCCUACAUGCAAUCAGGUUGUUUAAAAAAUAGGCUUUCUAGACAUUUUGACGGCAGACCCAUAGCUGCGGUUAAUCCUCCAUUUAUCCCUGCUCCUCUCUACAGGGGUGUACUUGUGAGCCUGCUGGAGCCAAGUCUCGCUCCCCUAGAGCAGCAGAGCACAAGGGGCACAAGCCCCCUCCAUGAGGCAGGUUCAAAGUGGCAGCUGUGGAAAGGUCACCUGAGCCAGAGAUACAGAAGGAGAGCCUGCUUCUGUUCAUCUCUCAUGGUGGCAGGGAGGGGCAUGAAGGGAUGGGAAGGAGUGGGGCUUCUGGGAACUGAGUCAAGGAUAGAGAAGACAGUGGGUUACGUAGUUAUUAAUAUGCCAUUAUUACGAAAACACUGAACCAGGAAGCAAGAUUCACUAGAGAGAAUACAGGGAGGAACCAGGAACACAUGGCCACACGUACAACAGCCACAGCCUACCUGCAUUAGUUCUCUCUUUACCUUCCUCCAUUUUCAAAACCCAGUGCUCACCAGCAAGCUGUGGGUGUACAGAGCUUCGACCGCUUUGACUGCCUGGUGUACAUCUGGUCCCAUUCUUCCCUUCCAGCCUAGAAGCACCUGAGGUCCUCACUCAUGACCACCAGUGAGUCCACACCCAGAGCAAAAUUCAAAAUUUGUAAUUCAUAGCUUUCUUCCUUACUACCAUGCAUGAGGAUGAGGGAUCAACAGAGGUGGCUGCCUUGUCUCAUAUGUGCCUGCCUCAUCUCAAAGCUGCAAGCCCUUCAGCCAGGAUCCCUCUCACAUCUCAGGAGAUCAAAAAGCUGCAGAAGAUGUCACAGAUGACUUCUGGAGGUUUUCUGCAGGGAGAACAGGUAGCUGAUGCAAUGAAGAGUGAUGUGAAAACAUGGCCAAGCUCUCUGAGGGCUUCUGUUGUCCCUAAGCUGUCAUUGCUUUGCAGUUUAACUCCUCAGAUGGCUCAGAACUACACAGUCAUUCCCUCACUCCUCAUCUUCACAGUGGGAUGGGGCAGAGAACUGAAAAGAAAACAACAUAGAACUUGUGGGAUAAAACUAUUUGCUGAGAUAGAGAAAAAGAAAAGAAUAAUACUUACGACUAUAUAUACGUACAUAUAUAUAUCUUACAUUUAUAUAUAUAUCUUGUCAAGUAUAUGUAUAUAUAUACUUGUCUAUGACAAGUGACGCUCAAAAAAUGGCUCACCACCCAACAGCUGAUGCCCAACAAGCCCCUUGAGCAGUGGAAGAGAGUGAAAUGAGCUUCCACUCCCUUUAAAAUUCCUUCUGCUUGAUGUCAUAUGGUAUGGAAUAUCCUUUUGGCCAGUCUAAGUCAACUGUCCUAAUUCUCUACCCUCUCAGCUCCUUGGGCCCUUCACUGUGAGUGGCCUUGGCUCUGUACAGCACUGCUUAACAGCAGCUAUAAACAUCAGCGUGUUAUCAACAUUGUUUUUCUCCUAGAAUCAAAACAUAGCAUCAUACCAGACACUAUGAAGAAAACAAUUUAAUCCCAGCUGAAACUAAGACACAUUGUCACUUCACACUAACCCAAACACCCCAAGAAAACAUUUCUACAGUAUUUAGUUGCACUUCAUGCCUGGCUGUGUGUUACACAGUCUGUAAGGAAUAAAGAAAUCCAGUCAUGUUUAGCUCUGUUCUCUCCUUGGCCUUUCUAAGCUCUCCUCAUCCAUAGCAAUCUAAACUUGAGGGAUGAUGAGAUGCCAAUUGGGUAUGGCACUAACAACAGGAAACCUUUUCCUUGUGAGAGACUCCUUCUGCCCAGGACAUGGGCAGUCCUACAGAUGGUCUGUGUGGGCCAUGUGGGCUGCACACCACCUAGUCCUUGAGAUUCCUUGCAGACCUUCCUGAGGAGCACGUGUAGACUGCAAGUUUGAUGUGUAGCACAGGUGGACUUCUGCCAUUGUGCCUGUAACCCCCUACUCCAGAGGAAAGGAAGGGGAGAGGACUUGCUCUAGAACAAAUUUGACUGUACUGUUUGUCUGGGAUUUUUUAUUUUUAUUUUUUAUUUAUUUUGCGAUGUGUUCCAGUAUUGCUUCUUUUUCAAAUAAAUUUGGGAAGUGAGUAUGGUAUUUCACAGUCCUGUGUCAUUUCAUCAUCUUCUAGCACAUUUGCUCAUGACCCUUUCAUUUACUGCAGGAGAAGUUCUUGCAUUUACAAGUAUAGAAGACUUUAAAAGAAUGGAUAUUUUUUUAUCUUUUCAAUAUCUA